UUUUAUUCAAUAUCACAUUUUUCAAGACAUAUUUAAUGUUAAAAAUUAAGACUUAUGCUACGAUUGGAUUGAAUAAUGAAACGAAGAGUGGAAUGAUUCAUUCUAUUGUAGUCGGAAUGAGUUAUUCCGUACUCUCUAUCCCUUAAGAAAUAGAAUUCAUAAAUUUUGGAGUAAUAAGAAUGAUUCGAUCCAUUCCAAUCGCAAUUAAACACAAUUUUUUU
Molecule: long non-coding RNA, 221 nt
Filed under: Panax ginseng (ginseng)
Lineage: Eukaryota; Viridiplantae; Streptophyta; Magnoliopsida; Apiales; Araliaceae
Description: long non-coding RNA (PGIN_LNC007790)
Source: RNAcentral